AAAUAAAAGAAGAGGUAAGUCGUAACACGGUAAGCGUACCGGAAGGUGCACUUGGUACAA
Molecule: ribosomal RNA, 60 nt
Filed under: Euphlyctis adolfi
Lineage: Eukaryota; Metazoa; Chordata; Amphibia; Anura; Dicroglossidae
Description: partial 12S small subunit ribosomal RNA
Source: RNAcentral